Molecule: ribosomal RNA, 715 nt
Filed under: Tintinnopsis nana
Lineage: Eukaryota; Ciliophora; Spirotrichea; Tintinnida; Codonellidae
Description: LSU rRNA
Rfam family: Eukaryotic large subunit ribosomal RNA
Source: RNAcentral
UAGGAUUCCCUCAGUACGGGCGACGGAAGCGGGAAAAGCCCACAUUGGUAAUCUCCGGGCCUGGGCUCGGCGAAUUGUAAUCUGAAGAUCGCUAGUCUAACUGGAUCAGGCGUCAAAGUGCGCACGAGCGCGCCGCCAUAGAGGGUGAGAGCCCCGUACGACGCAGGAUCCUACCAAGGCUGGUGUUCGAAGAGUCGUGUACUUUGAUACUAGUGCACUAAGCGGGAGAUAAACUUCUUCUAAGGCUAAAUAUAAGUAGGAAACCGAUAGCGAACAAGUACUGUGAAGGAAAGAUGAAAAGCACUUUGGAAAGAAAGUUAAAAGACUUGAAAUCGUUGAGGCGGACCCGGUAGAAAUGUAUUCUAGCGAAGCGCUCUGGGAAGCCUCUACGGGGGCCACUUGAGCGCUAGCCGAGACAAGAUGGAGUCGUUUGAUGCCAGAGGCUGUGUGCGAGCGCGCUUGCGUGAGCGUAUGCUAGUCGGGUGUCAGGCGGCUUGAGGGGCCUUGAGCGAUCUUGUCAAAAUGGUUUUUACCGACUCGUCUUGAAACACGAACCAAGGAGUCUAAGACUAACGCGAGUAUGGUGGUGGAGAAACCAACAUGCGAAAUGAAAGUAAAUGAUGCCAAGCUCCCUGCAGCAUCGACCGACUUUUUUCUCUUGGAAGAGGUUUGAGUAAGAGCGUUAUUCUUAGGACCCGAAAGAUGGUGAAACUAU